GCAAAUACCUGGCAGGGGAGAUACCAUGAUCACAAAGGUGGCUUUCCCAGGGGGAGGCUCAUCCAUUGCACUCCGGGAGUGCUGACCCCCGCAAUUUCCCCAAAUGUGGGAAACUCGACUGCAUAAUUUGUGGUCACUUAAU
Molecule: small nuclear RNA, 142 nt
Filed under: Pogona vitticeps (central bearded dragon)
Lineage: Eukaryota; Metazoa; Chordata; Lepidosauria; Squamata; Agamidae
Description: U1 spliceosomal RNA (ENSPVIG00000005565.1)
Rfam family: U1 spliceosomal RNA
About the family: U1 is a small nuclear RNA (snRNA) component of the spliceosome (involved in pre-mRNA splicing). Its 5' end forms complementary base pairs with the 5' splice junction, thus defining the 5' donor site of an intron. There are significant differences in sequence and secondary structure between metazoan and yeast U1 snRNAs, the latter being much longer (568 nucleotides as compared to 164 nucleotides in human).
Source: Rfam by way of RNAcentral